AUUUAUAAUCUCAAAAUUAAAGUUUAUAAUUUUAAAUUUUAAAUUUAAAUUUUAAUAUUUUAAAUUUUUGAAAUUUAAAUUUUGAAAUUUUAUAUUUUUUUAAAUUUAAAUUUGAUCUUAAUUAAAGUUUGAAAUGUAAAAUCUAAAUUUUUAAAUUUAAAAUUUGAAAUUUGAAAUUUUAGAUUUUAAUUUCAAAUUUUGAAAAUUUAAAGUUAAAAUUUUAAAUUUAAAAAUAUAAAUUUAAAAUUUUAAAAUUUAAAUUCAAAUAUAAUAAGAGGGCAAUAUUAUUAUUUUUUAUUUAUAAAAAUUGAAUAUUCUUCUUAUUCCAUCUUACCUAACCAAACGUUAUUUUUUUUAUUCCCAAAAAUAACCCAAUUUUUAUCCAAACGCAAAAUUGAUCUAAUCCCCGGUUAUACCUCAAUUUAUACUUAUCCCUGAAAUAGCCACUUUUUUUUUAUCCAUGAACCAAACGAUACCUAAGAGGUUGGUAGUUCAAUUCUCACAUGUAUAGUUUGAAAAUGGGAUCUCAAGUUCCUACCUUUUUUGGCAAGAAAAAUGCUAGCUUGAUAUAUACCACAAAAGGAGGUGUAAAGUUUAUUCUCCAUCAUCAAGGAUUCACAAAUUCCUUUUGAUUUUUAAUAUUUUUUUUAAAAUAAUUUGACAAGACAAGCAUAAAAAAUUGAUCUUCGAACGAAAGAGUGCAAGAUUUACACCUUUUUGGAGUGUACAUAGAGCAUUGCUUAUUGCGCAAUAAAUUAAAUAAGAGUAUAUUACACUUUUUGUCCUCAAACUAUGAGGCGCAUAACAUUUUGGUACUCCAAACUUUAAUUUAUUAUAAUUUACAUUUGUACAUUCUGAAUAGCUGCAGUUGAAUACCAUAAUUUAAUUUACUUGACUAAAUAUUGACAAAUUAUUGAUGUCGAAAUAAUAUAAAAAUACCAGAUAAAAAAAUGACAAGAUACAAAUAUUGGCCCACUAAAAAAAAAACGAUCUAUCUAUAAAUAAAUAUAUAAUUUAAGAAUUGGGUCACAUCAAUAAAACCAUCCCUCAUAAAACCACGUCUCCUUUUAAA
This 1072-nucleotide long non-coding RNA is filed under the name Ananas comosus (pineapple). RNAcentral describes it as "long non-coding RNA (ACOM_LNC009444)". The record is from RNAcentral. Lineage: Eukaryota; Viridiplantae; Streptophyta; Magnoliopsida; Poales; Bromeliaceae.